GUGCAAAUAUGGGCGAGAGGGAGCGGGAGUAUGUAGGGCGUAAGCUGUAUCGGGAUGUUUUUGGCAGAAAGCGGGUCUAGGCGGGUUAUUAGGUCGGAGGGGAAAAUGCGGGGCUCAACUCCGUAGUGCGUUGGAAACUGGUAGACUAGAGUAUUGGAGAGGUAGGCGGAACUACAAGUGUAGAGGUGAAAUUCGUAGAUAUUUGUAGGAAUGCCAAUUGGGAAGCCAGCUUACUGGACAAAUACUGACGCUGAGGCGCGAAAGCUAGGGGAGCAAACAGGAUUAGAUACCCGAGUAGUC
This 300-nucleotide ribosomal RNA is filed under the name uncultured Olsenella sp. Its description in RNAcentral is "bacterial SSU rRNA". It matches the Rfam family "Bacterial small subunit ribosomal RNA", at positions 495 to 795 of the family's 1533-position model. The record is from RNAcentral. Lineage: Bacteria; Bacillati; Actinomycetota; Coriobacteriia; Coriobacteriales; Atopobiaceae.